UAACGGCCCACCAAGACAACGAUGGAUAGGGGUUCUGAGAGGAAGGUCCCCCACAUUGGAACUGAGACACGGUCCAAACUCCUACGGGAGGCAGCAGUGAGGAAUAUUGGUCAAUGGGCGCGAGCCUGAACCAGCCAAGUAGCGUGAAGGAUGAAGGCUCUAUGGGUCGUAAACUUCUUUUAUAUGGGAAUAAAGUUUUCCACGUGUGGAAUUUUGUAUGUACCAUAUGAAUAAGGAUCGGCUAACUCC
This 249-nucleotide ribosomal RNA is filed under the name uncultured bacterium. RNAcentral describes it as "partial 16S ribosomal RNA". It matches the Rfam family "Bacterial small subunit ribosomal RNA", at positions 258 to 504 of the family's 1533-position model. The record is from RNAcentral.